Zootermopsis nevadensis is the source of this 584-nucleotide non-coding RNA. The record is from RefSeq and is a predicted model, not a curated record. Lineage: Eukaryota; Metazoa; Arthropoda; Insecta; Blattodea; Termopsidae.
UUAAUGCUGACACUCAAAGCUUUUAAGUCUCAGUGGUAAUUAUAUGUAUCACCUGCUUUAACAUUCGGUAAAUCAGCAUUUAGUUCACACAGUGCUUUUGGUUUCGUGUAUUUCUAACUGGAAACAGCGAUUAUUUCCUUAAAUAUCGAAAUACAUUUAUUUUUGUAAUGGUGAAAUGUUGUGUUUUCUUUGCAGUACGGACUGUAUUCUUGUAUGUUAUUUAGACGAGCUUCGGGUUUCAGGGGUUGAAGACAGAACAAUGUUAUCCAGAACUGCUUUCUCUGGAGCGUUUCUUGCGUCUACCACGUAACAACUAGGGCAAGCUAACGGCCUUGUGAGGAACUGUGCUGGCAGCGAGCUGAGUAAAGGUGAUGUUGAAAUAUUUUUGCAUCAAACGUGGUGGAAUCAGUUCUUACAAGGCGGCACUUAACCAUCUGAGAGUGGAAUGGCAUCUUCUGCUGUAACAGAAACAUUUCGUCUGAUUGCUUUUACGUUCGUUUCAGGCAUUGUCUGGGACAUUCACUUCUGCAUGGACGCAGUUAUAAUCAACACUACAGAAAUUGCAUUUGCCGUGGAUUGCGAGC